UACGUAGGGGGCGAGCGUUGUCCGGAUUUAUUGGGCGUAAAGCGCUCGCAGGUGGUUCGUUGCGUCGUGCGUGAAAGACCCCGGCUCAACUGGGGAGUGUCGUGCGAUACGGGCGAACUGGAGGCCAGUAGGGGGAUGCGGAAUUCCGGGUGUAGUGGUGGAAUGCGUAGAGAUCCGGAGGAACACCAGCGGCGAAGGCGGCAUCCUGGACCAACACUGACACUGAGGAGCGAAAGCCAGGGGAGCAAACGGG
RNAcentral lists this ribosomal RNA (253 nucleotides) under uncultured bacterium. RNAcentral's name for it is "partial 16S ribosomal RNA". It matches the Rfam family "Bacterial small subunit ribosomal RNA", at positions 524 to 776 of the family's 1533-position model. The record is from RNAcentral.